UUCUCAGAUUGAGACUCACAAAAGUGGCUUC
Molecule: non-coding RNA, 31 nt
Filed under: Mus musculus (house mouse)
Lineage: Eukaryota; Metazoa; Chordata; Mammalia; Rodentia; Muridae
Source: RNAcentral